AGCAGCCGCGGUAAUUCCAGCUCCAAUAGCGUAUAUUAAAGUUGUUGCAGUUAAAAAGCUCGUAGUUGAAUUUCGGGAUCAAUAUGUCGGUCGUGCCUCGGUACGUACUGGCGUAAUUGGUUUCUCCCUUCUGAAGAACCUCGAUGUCAUUAAUUUGGUGUCGUGUGGAAUCAGGACUGUUACUUUGAAAAAAUUAGAGUGUUUAAAGCAGGCUCGCGCUUGAAUACAUUAGCAUGGAAUAAUGAAAUAGGACGUUUGAUUCUAUUUUGUUGGUUUCUAGGAUCGACGUAAUGAUUAAUAGGGAUAGUUGGGGGCAUUAGUAUUCAAUUGUCAGAGGUGAAAUUUUUGGAUUUAUUGAAGACUAACUACUGCGAAAGCAUUUGCCAAGGAUGUUUUCAUUAAUCAAGAACGAAAGUUAGGGGAUCGAAGACGAUCAGAUACCGUCGUAGUCUUAACCAUAAACUAUGCCGACUAGGGAUCGGAUGAUGUUAAUUUUUAAUGACUCAUUCGGCGCCUUACG
This 520-nucleotide ribosomal RNA is filed under the name uncultured Glomus. Its description in RNAcentral is "SSU rRNA". It matches the Rfam family "Eukaryotic small subunit ribosomal RNA", at positions 569 to 1092 of the family's 1831-position model. The record is from RNAcentral. Lineage: Eukaryota; Fungi; Glomeromycota; Glomeromycetes; Glomerales; Glomeraceae.